UGAAAUCGGCCAGACAGAUGUCAGUG
Molecule: unclassified non-coding RNA, 26 nt
Filed under: Mus musculus (house mouse)
Lineage: Eukaryota; Metazoa; Chordata; Mammalia; Rodentia; Muridae
Description: oocyte_clustered_small_RNA5312
Source: RNAcentral